GGAUGUGAGGGCAAUCUAGCUGCAACAUUUGUCAUCCCAUUGACUCCCAGGAUUGAUUCAGCUGAUCUGGCUGGCUACGCGAGUGUCCCCUUCCUCCCUCACCACUCCAUGUGAUGUGCAUCCCUCGUGAAGCUGCGCACUGGGUCAAAGAGGAUGACCAUCCCCGAGAGUAGGACCCAUCUUCAUUAAAGGGUAUACCAGUAUUGGCGCUCCUCUGAUAGAAUCUCCAAACAAAGAGCCAACUUCUCCUGCUAAAUGCCAUGCUGGUUGCAUUCCAGU
Molecule: small nuclear RNA, 279 nt
Filed under: Theropithecus gelada (gelada)
Lineage: Eukaryota; Metazoa; Chordata; Mammalia; Primates; Cercopithecidae
Description: 7SK RNA (ENSTGEG00000022634.1)
Rfam family: 7SK RNA
About the family: 7SK was discovered as an abundant small nuclear RNA in the mid-70s but a possible function has only recently been suggested. Two independent studies have found that 7SK RNA binds the CDK9/cyclin T complex (known as elongation factor P-TEFb). P-TEFb activates transcription by phosphorylating the C-terminal domain of RNA polymerase II.
Source: Rfam by way of RNAcentral